This 466-nucleotide long non-coding RNA is filed under the name Brassica napus (rape). RNAcentral's name for it is "long non-coding RNA (BNAP_LNC001125)". The record is from RNAcentral. Lineage: Eukaryota; Viridiplantae; Streptophyta; Magnoliopsida; Brassicales; Brassicaceae.
GUGUAACUUAAUUGGGGAGUUUGAAGUCAAGGUUAUCAUAGUUGCUAUACCAUUAUGUGCACGUAUGCGAAAAUUAGCCUUCAGAUACCGUUCAAAACUUCAAAUUUUCAGUUCUAAAAGGACCUUUGUGCUUCUUUGGAUACACGAAUGGACUAAACAUGGAAGUGAUCUCACCCUGAACGUAAAGAGGCAAAGCGACCUAGGCAAAAGACUCAUAACUCACGGAGACAAAGAAAGUGUGUUUUGAUGUGAAUAAAUACAGAAAUGAUACCAGGUGGGUUUUUUCCUGCUUGACCCAUGUAAAUCAUGGAUUUUAUAUUAAGCAAAUCUGUUCUUAUUGGCCGGUUGGGGUUGGGGUGGGCCGUUGGCCCAGUUGAAGAUAUAGGGAAUCAAUUGACUUUCUCUAAUGAAUCUAUUCACCCUUGGGAUUAGUUAAGCUCGAUCACCAAAGUUACCUGAACAAAUA